GUGAGGAAUAUUGCACAAUGGGCGCAAGCCUGAUGCAGCAACGCCGCGUGCGGGACGAAGGCCUUCGGGUCGUAAACCGCUUUUCUGGGGAAAGAGCAAGGACGGUACCUCAGGAAUAAGUCUCGGCUAACUACGUGCCAGCAGCCGCGGUAAAACGUAGGAGGCGAGCGUUAUCCGGAUUUACUGGGCGUAAAGCGCACGCAGGCGGCUCCGUGAGUCGGACGUGAAAGCUCUCGGCUUAACCGGGAGAGGCCGUUCGAUACUGCGGGGCUUGAGGUAGGGAGAGGAAUGCGGAAUUCCCGGUGUAGUGGUGGAAUGCGUAGAUAUCGGGAGGAACACCUGUGGCGAAAGCGGCAUUCUGGCCCUCACCUGACGCUGAGGUGCGAAAGCGUGGGUAGCAAACAGGAUUAGAAACCCUAGUAGUCC
Molecule: ribosomal RNA, 426 nt
Filed under: uncultured bacterium
Lineage: Bacteria
Description: bacterial SSU rRNA
Rfam family: Bacterial small subunit ribosomal RNA
Source: RNAcentral